UGGCCGCUUUAAAAUCUAAAAAAACAAAUAAAGCUGUCAAAUACAAAUUUUGGAGUCAUUCCCAAUUUGUUGUUGGUUUAGUUUAGUCACAUUAUUUAUUUAAAAUCUCCUGUGGUGUUAAACAUGCCUGUUUACUACGGCGGGUUCGUAGGAGGUCCACAAGGGGGAGGAUAUUGCCUGUACUCUUAUCAGUGUAACCCCACUACAGGUGGCUGUGGUCCAUGUGUUCAACCCCCUGGGCCUUGCUGUCCCUUGUCAUGCUAAUCCGCAUGCAGUCCCAAACAAAUUCGACCUGCCAACCAGUCAAAUAACAUAUCGUCGUAAAAGUCGUCUCAUCUGAUUUUGAUGUGUUACAAUAAAAUGUUGACCUUUU
Long non-coding RNA from Manduca sexta (tobacco hornworm), 373 nucleotides. RefSeq lists it as uncharacterized. The transcript is spliced from 2 exons. The record is from RefSeq and is a predicted model, not a curated record. Lineage: Eukaryota; Metazoa; Arthropoda; Insecta; Lepidoptera; Sphingidae.